Molecule: ribosomal RNA, 253 nt
Filed under: uncultured bacterium
Lineage: Bacteria
Description: partial 16S ribosomal RNA
Rfam family: Bacterial small subunit ribosomal RNA
Source: RNAcentral
UACGGGGGGGGCAAGCGUUGUUCGGAAUUACUGGGCGUAAAGGGCUUGUAGGUGGCCAACUAAGUCAGACGUGAAAUCCCUCGGCUUAACCGGGGAACUGCGUCUGAUACUGGAUGGCUGGAGUGUGGGAGAGGGAUGCGGAAUUCCAGGUGUAGCGGUGAAAUGCUUAGAUAUGACAUAGAACACCUAUUGCGAAGGCAGCUUACUACGCAGAUAUUGACGCUCAUGCACGAAAGCGUGGGGAUCAAACAGG